RNAcentral lists this ribosomal RNA (405 nucleotides) under uncultured prokaryote. RNAcentral describes it as "bacterial SSU rRNA". It matches the Rfam family "Bacterial small subunit ribosomal RNA", at positions 355 to 774 of the family's 1533-position model. The record is from RNAcentral.
UGGGGAAUAUUGGGCAAUGGGCGCAAGCCUGACCCAGCAACGCCGCGUGAGGGAAGAAGGUCUUCGGAUUGUAAACCUCUGUCCUUGGGGACGAAAAAAAUGACGGUACCCAAGGAGGAAGCUCCGGCUAACUACGUGCCAGCAGCCGCGGUAAUACGUAGGGAGCGAGCGUUGUCCGGAAUUACUGGGCGUAAAGGGUGCGUAGGCGGUUUGGCAAGUCAGAUGUGAAAUCCCCGGGCUUAACUCGGGUGGUGCAUUUGAAACUGCUGAACUUGAUUGCAGGAGAGGAAAGCGGAAUUCCUAGUGUAGCGGUGAAAUGCGUAGAUAUUAGGAGGAACACCAGUGGCGAAGGCGGCUUUCUGGACUGUAACUGACGCUGAGGCACGAAAGCGUGGGGAGCAAACA